Long non-coding RNA from Ictalurus punctatus (channel catfish), 470 nucleotides. NCBI's taxonomy places the organism in Eukaryota, Metazoa, Chordata, Actinopteri, Siluriformes, Ictaluridae. The record is from Ensembl.
AGAACAUCUCGGUUUAUGAGAGAGAAAAAGAACUUUGAGCUUUAAGAUAUUCACUGAACUUUGUGCGAUUAAGGUGAUUAUUGUGGUUGUUCUGAUCAAGAGAGAAAAUGAAUAAGUUUUUGAGUGCACUUGGCGCUGGUGUCGUGGACGUUCCUCUGCGCCCCCUGCUGUACACGGCCGGAGCUGCAGCCACCGCAGCCGGCAUUUAUUAUCAUGUGAAACGAGGCGAUGGAAAGAAAACAUCAUCAUCAGACCCCGAGGUCACAACUGAAGACCCAGUGUGUGACCGGGCCACGGAACCGGCUCUGCUCCAACUCACAGAGGUUCCUCAGGACCAGCUCAUGGACACUGUGACUGAGGCUGAGGAGAAGACUCAGAAGCUUCUGGUGUCCAAUACUCAGCUGCAGGAGAGAGUGAGGGAGCUGGAGGAACUGCUCUGUGAGGCACGCAGAGAUGACAUGAAAAGCAAG